This 425-nucleotide ribosomal RNA is filed under the name uncultured bacterium. RNAcentral's name for it is "bacterial SSU rRNA". It matches the Rfam family "Bacterial small subunit ribosomal RNA", at positions 359 to 775 of the family's 1533-position model. The record is from RNAcentral.
GAAUUGUUCGCAAUGGGCGCAAGCCUGACGACGCAACGCCGCGUGGAGGAUGAAGAUUUUCGGAUCGUAAACUCCUUUCGAUCGGGACGAAUGGCUGGAGACCUAAUACGUCUCCAGAGUGACGGUACCGAGAGAAGAAGCCCCGGCUAACUCCGUGCCAGCAGCCGCGGUAAUACGGGGGGGGCAAGCGUUGUUCGGAAUUACUGGGCGUAAAGGGCGCGUAGGCGGCCUGCUAAGUCGGACGUGAAAUCCCUCGGCUCAACCGGGGAACUGCGUCCGAUACUGGCGGGCUUGAAUCCGGGAGAGGGAUGUGGAAUUCCAGGUGUAGCGGUGAAAUGCGUAGAUAUCUGGAGGAACACCGGUGGCGAAGGCGGCAUCCUGGACCGGUAUUGACGCUGAUGCGCGAAAGCCAGGGGAGCAAACGG